This is a long non-coding RNA of Numida meleagris (helmeted guineafowl), 999 nucleotides long. RefSeq lists it as uncharacterized. The transcript has 3 exons. Lineage: Eukaryota; Metazoa; Chordata; Aves; Galliformes; Numididae. The record is from RefSeq and is a predicted model, not a curated record.
AUUAUCAGAUCCUUUCCUGCUGUCUCAUUGUUAAACGGUGCAUGGUAACAAGACACACCUGGUUCCACAGUCAGCACACCUAGUGAGCUGAUAACAAACCUAACAGGCCAGGUUUGUGGCCUGUGGAGUUAACAGGAGGUAUAGUUAGCAUAAGCCUUGUGGCCUGUAGUUAGUGAUGAUGGUACUAUUUCUCUGAGUUGUUGGGUACAAAGAUCCAGUUAGAGGUGGUUAUCUCUAGCAGACACUAUGACUCCUGUGUGAAAACUUUGAUUUCACCUGCUGAAGAAAGGAUGUCAGCCUGAGCAUCAUCAUAUUUACUUUAACUAGGGCACAACUAGUCAAGCAGUUUCAACAUUGUUUAACCAUGCUGCAGUUCCUCCGAGUAGCAUUUUGUUUGCUGCAUUUUGCCACAUUUCUCUGCCUGAUGCUAAUUUACACAUGCUUGAGAGUCACAGCCUACCUUUCAAGGAGUUUGGCCGUACCACAAUUUAUAAACUCAUCAUGCUUAUGAAGAGUGGAAAUUUCCUGAAACUUAUAUCUAUCUAUGUGGCCUGUGCUUUUGACUGAUUUUACUGUUAGACUGAUACCUAUUUUAAGAACAAAUAAAAUUUAUGGCAAUUUACACUUUUAGCACAAAUACCAAACUUUUGGUAAAAUACAGAAGUAGAAAAAAAAUAUCGGAUGAACAUCCACACACAAAGAAAAAAAUCAAAAUUCUGGGAAGAUCACUCUCUUUAUUUCUCCCUCAAGUUAAAGUUAGUCCAUUAGGAUAGUUUUCAAUUUAAAAAAAAAAAAAAAAAGAAUUCAAAGGAGACUUUUGGAAGCUUUUCCCCGUUUGUUUUCUGAAAUGGCUGGAAUUACUAGAAUUGUCCCAAUCAAGCUGUUAAAAAGAAUGAUGAGGUAUGGUCACCCACUCAGAUUUUGUUAAAAAAGUCUAACUGGAGCCCUCUAAGAUGAAAUGGCCUUUUGUAAUGAACUCAGCAUCCACUGCCUGUUAAU